AGGCUGAGCCAAAGUCGGCGCAGUCGUGAUCGUCAUUUCCGGUGUCUGUUGUCUGGGAGCUAAUUGGUAUUGACCUGACCGGACCUCUCCCAAAAACUGUGGAUGGCUUCCAGUACAUUUUAACAGCCACAGAUUACUUUUCAAAAUGGGUUGAGGCUUUCCCAUUAAAGAAAAAAACUGCAGCUGAAGUGGGGCGCCACAUCUGCUCAAUUAUUUAUACACAUUUUUGUCCCAAAAUAAUCGUAUCUGACCAGGGAAGAGAGUUUGUUAGUGAAGUGUGUGCGUUUUAAUAAUGCUAUUGUAGUAAAUACAAUUCAGGAAUUAUUCCUUUCUGCUUGGAAUGUAUUUUUUUUUUGACAUGAACUGAUUUUAUUUCAGCUCAACACCAGACUUUGCAGUAUUUUGGCUAUUCAAAGUAGUGUGACAGCUGCCUAUCAUCCCAAAACCAAUGGUCUGGAUGAGAACACAUUGUUAAACAUAACUAUUUAUUAUUAUACUAUUUUAUUUGAGUCGACAUUUGUUCAGUGUUCAGGAGUUAUUUAUUUAGUUUAAUUGAUUUUUUUUUUUUUUUUGGUGUUUGUUUUUUUACAUUAUGUACAUUGCACAUACUGUACCGCUAAAACCUUCAAUAUACGUUAUAAAACAGCAUCAACAGUGUACAGGGUGAGUAGUGGUGUAAAAUAACGUGAUUCUGCAGUGGGAGCAUUAUUUGAUAGAGGCGAUUGGUCUAUCCACAUACGGUACUCCUGAAAUCUUCAAUAAAGACGUUAUAAACAAG
This is a long non-coding RNA of Gadus morhua (Atlantic cod), 778 nucleotides long. RefSeq lists it as uncharacterized. NCBI's taxonomy places the organism in Eukaryota, Metazoa, Chordata, Actinopteri, Gadiformes, Gadidae. The transcript has 2 exons. The record is from RefSeq and is a predicted model, not a curated record.